AAGGAUCAUUAAAGAGUUAGGGUCUUCUAGGCCCGAUCUCCCAACCCUUUGUUUAUUGAACCUCUGUUGCUUCGGCGGACCCGUCUCACGGCCGCCGGAGGACCGCUGAAAGGCGUCCUCUGGCCAGCGUCCGCCGAUAGCCAACCACUUAAACUCUGAAUAAAUCGUGUCAUAUGUCUAAGUCUAUGAUUAAAUUAAAGCAAAACUUUCAACAACGGAUCUCUUGGUUCUG
This 232-nucleotide unclassified non-coding RNA is filed under the name uncultured fungus. RNAcentral describes it as "partial contains 5.8S ribosomal RNA, internal transcribed spacer 2, and large subunit ribosomal RNA". Lineage: Eukaryota; Fungi. The record is from RNAcentral.